This 76-nucleotide transfer RNA is filed under the name Gammaproteobacteria bacterium. Its description in RNAcentral is "tRNA-Thr". It matches the Rfam family "tRNA". From Rfam's summary of the family: Transfer RNA (tRNA) molecules are approximately 80 nucleotides in length. Their secondary structure includes four short double-helical elements and three loops (D, anti-codon, and T loops). Lineage: Bacteria; Pseudomonadati; Pseudomonadota; Gammaproteobacteria. The record is from RNAcentral. RNAcentral also lists the same sequence under 2 other names.
GCCGGCAUAGCUCAGCUGGUAGAGCGGCGCAUUCGUAAUGCGUAGGUCGGGUGUUCGAGUCACCCUGCCGGCACCA